AGACGAUAAAAUUAAUAAAGAGAUUAAUUAAGAUAUAUGGUGUGUUUAUAAUGGGUGCAUGCAGGUGCAGGGUAGGGUAGAGAUGAUAUAUAUACCGUACGUACCGCUUGCUGAAGUGCUGUGAGGUAAAUGGUGAAGGAGCAUUCAUCUUUCCCAGGACAAAGUGCUGACAUGGUAACAUCAGUAAUGGCCGGAAUCACCAUGAAUGUAGAGAAACUAUACAAGAACACCGUCAUGAAGAGGUGGCUCAGCUUCCACAAGUACUUUUCCAUCUUAAUUAGUUUUUUUAAUUAUAAAAAUCUCUAUAUCUCGAUCUGCAAGGGAAGGAAUAGGAUGAUAUAUGAGUGAAGAAUUGCUAAUCAUGUAUACUACUUAUCAUAAAGAAGCACAGCACUGCUCAGCACAACAACAUUGAUUUAAAGCACAGGAACUAUUUUGUCCCCAUUCAUGAUCAUCUGUUUUGGAGAAUUGGACAAUUAAUACCCUUAAAAAUGAAAAUAAAAUAUAUACUUGGUUGUAACAUUUUAAGAUGUAUUAAAAUUAUAUUUGAAUAUUAUUUUCU
Molecule: long non-coding RNA, 562 nt
Filed under: Panax ginseng (ginseng)
Lineage: Eukaryota; Viridiplantae; Streptophyta; Magnoliopsida; Apiales; Araliaceae
Description: long non-coding RNA (PGIN_LNC017403)
Source: RNAcentral